This 1945-nucleotide ribosomal RNA is filed under the name Anaeramoeba gargantua. Its description in RNAcentral is "partial small subunit ribosomal RNA". It matches the Rfam family "Eukaryotic small subunit ribosomal RNA", at positions 83 to 1492 of the family's 1831-position model. The record is from RNAcentral. Lineage: Eukaryota; Anaeramoebidae.
GAAACUGCAGACGGCUCCAUUAGCAGUUAUAAUUUAUUUGAUUAUGGAUGCUUACCUUACUACUAUAUCUUUUGAGAAAUUCUUCUCAACUGUUUAUAAAGGGCAUUGUUAAACGGAUAACCUUGAGAAAUUGUGGCUAAUACGUGCUAAAUAAGCUUAAACGGCUAUGUCGAUUAGGCUUAGUACUUGUUAGUUUUAAAUAAAGGUUGAUAAACCAACUUUAAAAAAAUAGAAUUAAGUGAAAGUUAACAAUUUAUCGAAUCUGUUUAAGGGCCAAAGACGACAGUCUUUUUACCUUACCCUUAACUGGGCGAGGUUUUGACCAGCUAACUCCAUGAGUUUGUCUGGUUGAGAGUCCUUUUAAGUAAAUCAGAUGUUUCAUUCAAAUUUCUGGUCUAUCAAUUAGAAGCUAGGGUAGUUGCCUAGCUUGAUGAUAACGGGUCCGGGGAAUUAGGGUUCGAUACCGGAGAAGGAGCCUGAGAGACGGCUCCUGUUACUACGGUGAACAGCAGGCGCGAAACUUUCCCAAAUUUUGACUUAAAGAGGAAGUGACAAGAAAUAUUAACGCGGUCAUCCUCAACGGAUGACUGUACUGUUAAAAUGAGAACAAGAUAAACAUCUUACCGAUUAACAAUUAGAGGGCAAGUUCUGGUGCCAGCAGCCGCGGUAAUUCCAGCUCUAAGGGUUCGUUUAUUUUAGUUGUUGUAGUUAAAACGCUCGUAGUUGGAACUUUUUCAAUUUACGGCAUGACAUGUUAUUGUCUAAUGCUGUUAAAAUGAAACUAAAAAAGAAUGUCGGAAUUUUCUUUCCGGGUUUUUCUUUUUAUUACUGUGAACAAAAUUUAGCGUUCAAAGCAAGCUAUUUUUACUUAAACGCUCAACGCUUUUCAAGUGUGCGAGUGGCUCUGAGAAAAUUAGCAUGGAAUAAUGGAAUAAGACCUUUAUUGGGUUUUUGUUUAUGUUGGUUUUUAACCUUUUAUAUCCCAAUUGGUAAUGAUUAAAAGGGACAGAUUUAAGAACUUAGUUUUCCUUAUGCUAUUUCUGAAGGGUGAUAUUUGAUCCCGGACGGGUACAUGGGAAAUUAUGGCUAAGAUUUUUAAUUUUAUCGGGGGCGUUAAUAUUCAACGGGGAGAGGUGAAAUUCAGUGAUCCGUUGAGGAUUAACAGGAGCGAAAGCGUUCGCCAAGGAUGUUUUCAUUAAUCAAGAACGAAAGUUAGGGGAUCGAAGACGAUUAGACACCGUCGUAGUCCUAUUUUACCGUAAACGAUCUCGACUAAGGAUUGGGUCUCAGUGGUUUUUACUGUUCUUGCCUACUUUCUUUGCUUUCAGCAUGGGUAGGUGAUCGAACGUGUAAGCCCUUAUUCGACAGGGUCUCGCGAAUGAGUUUGUUCUGCAAACUCACCGGGUCCUUAAGGAAGGCUCAGGACUUGAAGGAGAAAUCAUUAAGUGAACGGAGUCUAGGGGGAAGUAUUGACGCAAGUUUGAAACUUAAAGGAAUUGACGGAAGAGCACACAAUAAGUGGAGCUUGUGGCUUCUAAUUUGACUCAACGCGGGAAAACUUACCAGAUCCGGAUUGUAGUAGGAUUGACAGAUUGAAAGCUCUUUCAUGAUUUUCAAAGUGGUGGUGCAUGGCCGUUCUUGGUUGGUGAAGUGAUUUGUCUGUGUUAAUUCCGAUAACGAACGAGACCUUGACUUACAUGUUUAACCAAGCAUGGUAGUACAAUUUUCUCUCUUUUUCUGAGAGCUAAAUUUACGUGCUUUUGGUAUUUCACAGGAUUUCGCUAAGGCGUUUUUAUUCAGUUUUUUUUAAAAACAUACGAAGAUUAACGCUGAUUUCUAUGUGGUACCAUUUGGUUUAACCUUGAAGGACGAUUCAUCUUUUAUAGUGAAAGGAAGAGCGAGGCAAUAACAGGUCUGAGAUGCCCUUUGAUGUUCUGGGCUGCAC